GAGUUUCCAACUCCCAAACCCACUGUGAACCUAUACCUCUACACCGUUGCUUCGGCGGGUCUUCGCCCCGGCCAGCCAGGUUCCCCCCUCCCCCACGCGCGGGGCGGUUGGGCCAGGCCCCGGAUCUAGGCGCCCGCCGGGGGACCCCAAACCUCUUGUAUUUUGCACUUUUGGCAUGUCUGAGUGGAAUCAUCACAGAAUGAAUCAAAACUUUCAACAACGGAUCUCUUGGUUCU
Molecule: unclassified non-coding RNA, 236 nt
Filed under: rhizosphere metagenome
Description: partial ribosomal RNA internal transcribed spacer region
Source: RNAcentral